GUUGGCUAAGUCCGUUCGGCGG
This 22-nucleotide small nuclear RNA is filed under the name Arabidopsis thaliana (thale cress). Its description in RNAcentral is "snRNA_18722". Lineage: Eukaryota; Viridiplantae; Streptophyta; Magnoliopsida; Brassicales; Brassicaceae. The record is from RNAcentral.